Molecule: ribosomal RNA, 486 nt
Filed under: uncultured bacterium
Lineage: Bacteria
Description: bacterial SSU rRNA
Rfam family: Bacterial small subunit ribosomal RNA
Source: RNAcentral
AUUGAACGCUGGCGGCAUGCCUUACACAUGCAAGUCGAACGGCAGCACGGGAGCAAUCCUGGUGGCGAGUGGCGAACGGGUGAGUAAAGUAUCGGAACGUACCUUUCAGUGGGGGAUAACGUAGCGAAAGUUACGCUAAUACCGCAUAUUCUGUGAGCAGGAAAGCAGGGGAUCGCAAGACCUUGCGCUGAUGGAGCGGCCGAUAUCAGAUUAGCUAGUUGGUGAGGUAAAGGCUCACCAAGGCGACGAUCGAUAGCUGGUCUGAGAGGAUGAUCAGCCACACUGGAACUGAGACACGGUCCAGACUCCUACGGGAGGCAGCAGUAGGGAAUAUUGGACAAUGGGGGCAACCCUGAUCCAGCCAUGCCGCGUGAGUGAAGAAGGCCCUCGGGUUGUAAAGCUCUUUUGUCCGGAAAGAAAAGCAAUCGGUUAAUACCCGGUUGUUCUGACGGUACCGGAAGAAUAAGCACCGGCUAACUUCGUGCC